Molecule: long non-coding RNA, 247 nt
Organism: Herpailurus yagouaroundi (jaguarundi)
Lineage: Eukaryota; Metazoa; Chordata; Mammalia; Carnivora; Felidae
Exons: 3
Source: RefSeq, a predicted model, not a curated record
CAAAAAAAACCCAAAAAUCACAGAGCUGUAUUUUUCCAAUGCAGAAAAGAAGUGAUUGUCAGCAAUUACAAGUACAUCCAUAAUUAAUAUGUGAAAAGAAUCCAGGGGGGAGUGGAAGGUGAGGGGCGCCUACAUGGGGUUCAUGACCACGUUCUGCCUCCUUCUGUUUGUUUUCUUUAAAUAAAUUUCCCACGAUGAAAUGGUGGGGCGCCUGGGUGGCUCAGUCAGUUAAGCCACCGACUUCAGC